AACGAACGCUGGCGGCAUGCCUAACACAUGCAAGUCGAACGAAGUCUUCGGACUUAGUGGCGCACGGGUGCGUAACGCGUGGGAAUCUGCCCUUGGGUGCGGAAUAACUUCUCGAAAGGGACGCUAAUACCGCAUAAUGUCGUAAGACCAAAGAUUUAUCGCCCAAGGAUGAGCCCGCGUAAGAUUAGCUAGUUGGUGGGGUAAAAGCCUACCAAGGCGACGAUCUUUAGCUGGUCUGAGAGGAUGAUCAGCCACACUGGGACUGAGACACGGCCCAGACUCCUACGGGAGGCAGCAGUGGGGAAUAUUGGACAAUGGGCGAAAGCCUGAUCCAGCAAUGCCGCGUGAGUGAUGAAGGCCCUAGGGUUGUAAAGCUCUUUCGCGCACGACGAUAAUGACGGUAGUGCGAGAAGAAGCUCCGGCUAACUUCGUGCCAGCAGCCGCGGUAU
Molecule: ribosomal RNA, 449 nt
Filed under: uncultured bacterium
Lineage: Bacteria
Description: bacterial SSU rRNA
Rfam family: Bacterial small subunit ribosomal RNA
Source: RNAcentral